UGCGAGAGAGCUGUAGUAGAAAAACCCUUUUAUGUUUAUUUCAUUUGCGCAAAUAAUAUCAAGUGUUCCCCAACCCCCACCCCCACCCUCGUUUCCCCAGACUGGUUUCCCUCUACUUCUUGGACCUUUUGAAGAUGCAAACACAGAGUAAGGUUCGUCUAUUAAAAGUUUGUCAUCAGCAUAUGAGGUUUUGUUUUCCAAAUGCUGCUCGCUUCCUGUGUGGAGAGAUAAGCAGGCAAUCUUACUGUGUUUGCGCUCACAGCCCCCAUUGGGGAGAAAAAUCUCAUAACUGGGGAAAUUCCUCCACCUCCACAGAGCGUUUUCGGAACCCGACAGAUCCUGCCGGAAUCACGGACACUGGCCGGCAAGGUAUGUCGACCUUCUUACUCACAGCUAUGUUCGUUAUUUCAUUUCAAAGUGACCAAGGCCCAGGAACCGGGAACAAACAGGCGUGUGAAACCUCGAACAAGCAGACCCAAAAGAAAAGUGAAGGGCCACAUCUGGACUCUCUCUAGACUUGGUUAUUUUAGUUUCCCUGGAGGUGUGCUACACUGGGAAGGAUGAAAACAAAGAAGCAUCCAAACAAGGAGCAAGGCUAAUGCAAAUUAUAGGGAGAAGAAAAAAAUAAAAGAAGAGAAUAAUUUGAAGAAAUUUUCCUCGAUUUUGAGGAGCUUGAAAAUAAGUGAAAUUAGAGCUGCAUCAAGGGGAAGUCUCCACUUGUCCUUGUCCGGCGCUCAUCCGUCAGAGAUAGUUACCAUG
RNAcentral lists this long non-coding RNA (759 nucleotides) under Rattus norvegicus (Norway rat). RNAcentral describes it as "long non-coding RNA NONRATT011912". Lineage: Eukaryota; Metazoa; Chordata; Mammalia; Rodentia; Muridae. The record is from RNAcentral.